This 270-nucleotide unclassified non-coding RNA is filed under the name Hevea brasiliensis (rubber tree). The record is from RNAcentral. Lineage: Eukaryota; Viridiplantae; Streptophyta; Magnoliopsida; Malpighiales; Euphorbiaceae.
UAUUUACAUAGGGAUAUCUUCUCAUCCCCAACACAAAUAUCUACAUUUACAUAGCGAACGCGAACCCUUCAAAUCAAUGAAUCGAGUUCUAGGAUGUCGCAUGCCCCUAUGAAAAACAAAUGGGCAGAACUCUAUUGUACCGUAACUGCAUGAAACCUAACAAAAUGAAGUGCUGCAAGGAAAAUGUAAAGAAUCUGUCAUGUUUUGUUCUUGAGCUUUCAGAUCUACCACAAUAACGGUUAUGUUGUCUUUGCUUCCUUUUUGAAGAGC